This 957-nucleotide ribosomal RNA is filed under the name uncultured marine bacterium. RNAcentral describes it as "bacterial SSU rRNA". It matches the Rfam family "Bacterial small subunit ribosomal RNA", at positions 60 to 1003 of the family's 1533-position model. The record is from RNAcentral.
AGUCGAGGGGUAACAGGGAGUGCUUGCACUCUGCUGACGACCGGCGCACGGGUGCGUAACGCGUAUGCAACCUACCUUCUACAGGGGGAUAGUCCAGAGAAAUUUGGCAUAAUACCCCAUACGAUCAUUUAUUGGCAUCGAUAGAUGAGGAAAACUCCGGUGGUAGAAGAUGGGCAUGCGUCCUAUUAGUUAGUUGGUAAGGUAACAGCUUACCAAGACACCGAUAGGUAGGGGUCCUGAGAGGGGGAUCCCCCACACUGGUACUGAGACACGGACCAGACUCCUACGGGAGGCAGCAGUGAGGAAUAUUGGACAAUGGAGGCAACUCUGAUCCAGCCAUGCCGCGUGCAGGAAGACGGCCCUACGGGUUGUAAACUGCUUUUAUACAGGAAGAAACGCCGCUACGUGUAGCGGUUUGACGGUACUGUACGAAUAAGGAUCGGCUAACUCCGUGCCAGCAGCCGCGGUAAUACGGAGGAUCCAAGCGUUAUCCGGAAUCAUUGGGUUUAAAGGGUCCGUAGGCGGUUUUUUAAGUCAGAGGUGAAAUCCUGCAGCUCAACUGUAGUAUUGCCUUUGAUACUGAAAGACUUGAGUUAUUGUGAAGUAGUUAGAAUGUGUAGUGUAGCGGUGAAAUGCAUAGAUAUUACACAGAAUACCGAUUGCGAAGGCAGAUUACUAACAAUAUACUGACGCUGAGGGACGAAAGCGUGGGUAGCGAACAGGAUUAGAUACCCUGGUAGUCCACGCCGUAAACGAUGGAUACUAGCUGUUCGACCAACAUUGGUUGGUUGAGUGGCUAAGCGAAAGUGAUAAGUAUCCCACCUGGGGAGUACGCUCGCAAGAGUGAAACUCAAAGGAAUUGACGGGGGCCCGCACAAGCGGUGGGAGCAUGUGGUUUAAAUUCGAUGAUACGCGAGGAACCUUUACCAGGGCUUAAAUGUAAGUUGCAUAGACCUG